RNAcentral lists this ribosomal RNA (501 nucleotides) under Pseudoalteromonas sp. WH141. RNAcentral describes it as "bacterial SSU rRNA". It matches the Rfam family "Bacterial small subunit ribosomal RNA", at positions 114 to 617 of the family's 1533-position model. Lineage: Bacteria; Pseudomonadati; Pseudomonadota; Gammaproteobacteria; Alteromonadales; Pseudoalteromonadaceae. The record is from RNAcentral.
UGCUUGGGAAUAUGCCUUAGGGUGGGGGACAACAGUUGGAAACGACUGCUAAUACCGCAUAACGUCUACGGACCAAAGGGGGCUUCGGCUCUCGCCCUUAGAUUAGCCCAAGUGGGAUUAGCUAGUUGGUGAGGUAAUGGCUCACCAAGGCGACGAUCCCUAGCUGGUUUGAGAGGAUGAUCAGCCACACUGGAACUGAGACACGGUCCAGACUCCUACGGGAGGCAGCAGUGGGGAAUAUUGCACAAUGGGCGCAAGCCUGAUGCAGCCAUGCCGCGUGUGUGAAGAAGGCCUUAGGGUUGUAAAGCACUUUCAGUAAGGAGGAAAGGUUAGUAGUUAAUACCUGCUAGCUGUGACGUUACUUACAGAAGAAGCACCGGCUAACUCCGUGCCAGCAGCCGCGGUAAUACGGAGGGUGCGAGCGUUAAUCGGAAUUACUGGGCGUAAAGCGUACGCAGGCGGUUUGUUAAGCGAGAUGUGAAAGCCCCGGGCUCAACCUGG